GGCUGAAAGAUGGCGUAAGCUAUCGCUUUUGGAUGGACCCGCGGCGUAUUAGCUAGUUGGUGAGGUAAUGGCUCACCAAGGCGAUGAUACGUAGCCGAACUGAGAGGUUGAUCGGCCACAUUGGGACUGAGACACGGCCCAAACUCCUACGGGAGGCAGCAGUAGGGAAUCUUCCACAAUGGACGCAAGUCUGAUGGAGCAACGCCGCGUGAGUGAAGAAGGCUUUCGGGUCGUAAAACUCUGUUGUUGGAGAAGAAUGGUCGGCAGAGUAACUGUUGUCGGCGUGACGGUAUCCAACCAGAAAGCCACGGCUAACUACGUGCCAGCAGCCGCGGUAAUACGUAGGUGGCAAGCGUUAUCCGGAUUUAUUGGGCGUAAAGCGAGCGCAGGCGGUUUUUUAAGUCUGAUGUGAAAGCCCUCGGCUUAACCGAGGAAGCGCAUCGGAAACUGGGAAACUUGAGUGCAGAAGAGGACAGUGGAACUCCAUGUGUAGCGGUGAAAUGCGUAGAUAUAUGGAAGAACACCAGUGGCGAAGGCGGCUGUCUGGUCUGUAACUGACGCUGAGGCUCGAAAGCAUGGGUAGCGAACAGGAUUAGAUACCCUGGUAGUCCAUGCCGUAAACGAUGAAUGCUAGGUGUUGGAGGGUUUCCGCCCUUCAGUGCCGCAGCUAACGCAUUAAGCAUUCCGCCUGGGGAGUACGACCGCAAGGUUGAAACUCAAAGGAAUUGACGGGGGCCCGCACAAGCGGUGGAGCAUGUGGUUUAAUUCGAAGCAACGCGAAGAACCUUACCAGGUCUUGACAUCUUUUGAUCACCU
Molecule: ribosomal RNA, 816 nt
Filed under: Lacticaseibacillus paracasei subsp. tolerans
Lineage: Bacteria; Bacillati; Bacillota; Bacilli; Lactobacillales; Lactobacillaceae
Description: bacterial SSU rRNA
Rfam family: Bacterial small subunit ribosomal RNA
Source: RNAcentral